CUGAAGAAAGCUGGACUCUCGUCUGGUAUGGUACGACUGAAGACUCAGCCUCGGACCACGUUCCAGAGAUGCACAAAUGAGCCCCAAUCCGGGCACCUACAGACUCAGGCAGAGAUGUGCACCACAGAGCCAAAUGUGUGGGUGUCUCAUGCUUUCUCUGCUCGUUCCCCGGGGCUGCCCAUUACUCCUCUAUGACUGUGUUCACAGAGCAUGUCUGGCCCUUGAAGACUAUCAGUGUCCAGUGCACAGGCCCUGGACUACUCGCUGCCUGACCUACCCUUGGACACAGGGUCAAUGACACAGACUCCGGGAGUAGGUGAGAACCACGCAGCAAGUUCAUCAGAACAGUGCUACAAGCGCCUUUACACCCAGCUCUUCUAAACAGCAGUUCCCCAUUGGCUGGCAUUGUCCGCAUCAGCAGUCCUUGGUCUCUCAAUUAGGUCCUCCAGCAGGAGAUGCUUUUGCAGUUGUGUCUCCUCCCCUGCUCCCCGCAGCAGAAGUUCCUGCUACACUUCACCAAGUAAAAGUUCUUUAAAAUCUUACAUGAAAUAGUAAAUACCAUAGAAAGACAUUAAGUUUUUAUUUCCUGUCGCUCUGUCAGACCCUGCUAACUCCUGAGGAAUUCAACCAGCACUUGAAUUCCCUGUGAGGAAAGUCAGGACAACGCAGAAAUAAAUUCUUCAUUUUAUUGUC
Molecule: long non-coding RNA, 693 nt
Filed under: Rattus norvegicus (Norway rat)
Lineage: Eukaryota; Metazoa; Chordata; Mammalia; Rodentia; Muridae
Description: long non-coding RNA NONRATT028798
Source: RNAcentral